This 463-nucleotide ribosomal RNA is filed under the name uncultured bacterium. RNAcentral's name for it is "bacterial SSU rRNA". It matches the Rfam family "Bacterial small subunit ribosomal RNA", at positions 34 to 507 of the family's 1533-position model. The record is from RNAcentral.
CGCUGGCGGCGUGCCUAACACAUGCAAGUCGAGCGGGGUCCAUCCGGUAGCAAUACCGGGGAAGACCUAGCGGCGAACGGGUGAGUAACACGUGAGAAACCUGCCCCGAAGUCUGGGAUAACCCGAGGAAACUCGAGCUAAUACCGGAUGUCUUCUUCUGAUCGCAUGGUCGGAUGAAGAAAGAUUUAUCGCUUCGGGAGGGUCUCGCGGCCUAUCAGCUAGUUGGCGGGUAACGGCCCACCAAGGCGUCGACGGGUAGCUGGUCUGAGAGGACGAUCAGCCACACUGGGACUGAGACACGGCCCAGACUCCUACGGGAGGCAGCAGUGGGGAAUAUUGCGCAAUGGGCGAAAGCCUGACGCAGCAACGCCGCGUGCGGGAUGAAGGCCUUCGGGUUGUAAACCGCUUUCAGUGGGGACGAAUUCAGACGGUGCCCACAGAAGAAGCCCCGGCCAACUACGUG